GAUGGCCUUGGCGACCAUGGUUUGGAUUUUAAAGGACAUGGGAGUCAAUGUGGUUAUGUUUAUUGGUUUAACAUAUUUAAUUUAUCUUGCAAGCGUAUUGGUGUAGUGAUACCAUGGAGUAUAUUACUUAAUUAAUGACUCUUGGGUUACAGGUUGAUUACAUGUACAAAUGUUUUAAUUUGGGUUUAAAAGGGGUUGUGUAGCUUGCCAUGAUGGUGAAGGUCUCGGGGGAAGGAGGGAUCAAUACUAGAAAUCACAUUUGUCGGUGUGGUGGUCUUUAUAACUGUGUGCAUAGUUCACACUAUAUAUAUUUUGGAAUGGCUGGGGUUGUGGAUUCCCUGGUCCUUCCUCAAAUUUUCCUAGUCUCUAUAGCUAACACGCACUGGGACCUUUUUAGCAGUGGAAGCUGAACUUAUAUAGCUCGUGGGUGCCCUUAGGAUGAAUAGAGCCACACAAUCCAGGUUAAUGGUUUUAUACCUCUCAUGUUCAUGACCCUUACCCUAUCCCAACAUCUUAUAUAUAUAUAUAUAUGAAUGCGUGCAUGUAGUUUUGAUUGAUUUUAGCUAUGAAAUUAUUUUAUCACUUUGCCUGAGUUACAUGCUAGUGCUUUUACCACUGACCGUCCUUGGAUGCUACAUUAUUUCAUGAUGCAUGGUUUGAAGAUAAUUUUGUUACUCCUGUGUAGCGUUAUAUGGUUGAGCACAUUCAUUGAGUUGCUGUAAAGUGGUGCGCCUCCAUUCUUUGGAAGCUUUAUCAUUUCAUUGGUCUUUACUUAUUGACUCAGUACUUUUGGAUUAUUUUUAGUCGUAGUCGAGGGCAUGUCCCGACUUAGAUGUUAUUUACGUUUAGAGGCUAUUGUGGACACAUAUGGGUUGGUUGGUUAUUGAUUGACUCUUAGUUUUCAUAGAGUUAUUUAUUCAUCUUCUUAUUAUUAUUUCAUUGGCUUCUAUAUUUGUUAUUUUUAUUAUUAUUGUGCUCUUUUGGUUAAGCUAUGGGGGUGGUCUUCAAUCCAAGAUGGAAUUGAGAUACCCAUCACGGCCAGACUCUGGUUUGGGUUGUGACAAGUAUAAUGACCCAAAUAGUAGUUAUGUUACAAAACUAUUCGAAGAAUGCUUCAAUAAAGAAAUUUCAUUUCAUUCCUCUUAGGAAUUAAUUUUUUCUAAAAAAGUCAUGGAAUAAAUUAAAUUUGGGCUAGAUUUACAAUUUAGUCCAGGAAUACUGCCUCUGAAUUACUAUAGCGACACAUGUGGCACUGUAGUGUGUUAUAGUGAUACUUUUAUUCCUCAAAUGAUAGAGAGGUAGUGGACUGCAUGAGUAAUUAAAAAUCCCUCCCAACUGAGGCCUCUUAUUUUGUUUUCUCCCCCCAAAAUGCCCCAAAUGAACUUUUGGUGCUUUGAACAAUAAGAUUUUAGAGGCUAAGCUCUAUGAGGGAAAUUCUUAAGCAUUAUUGAUGGGAUUUCCAGUGUUGGUAAAGUUUAAGGCAUUGAAGGAUGAUAUUUCACUCUCUGUAGCAUCAGAACUCAGUCAUGAGGUAGGUUAUUAUUAAAUUAUAGUAGACUUGGGCUAGAUAUAUGUAAUAGGGUAGUCACAUUGGGAGAUUUCAUGUUUAAGCCUACAUGCAUGGAGUUUGGAUGGUAUGGAUAAUAAGUUAAACUUAGAAUAAGUAGUUGAUGAUUUCUAUUUGUUGUCUAUUGAUUUAUUAAACUGUG
RNAcentral lists this long non-coding RNA (1709 nucleotides) under Capsicum annuum. Its description in RNAcentral is "long non-coding RNA (CANN_LNC020895)". Lineage: Eukaryota; Viridiplantae; Streptophyta; Magnoliopsida; Solanales; Solanaceae. The record is from RNAcentral.